Molecule: ribosomal RNA, 253 nt
Filed under: uncultured bacterium
Lineage: Bacteria
Description: partial 16S ribosomal RNA
Rfam family: Bacterial small subunit ribosomal RNA
Source: RNAcentral
UACAGAGGGGGCAAGCGUUGUUCGGAAUUACUGGGCGUAAAGCGCGUGUAGGCUGCUCAGAAAGUCGGAUGUGAAAGCCCUGGGCUUAACCUAGGAAGUGCAUUCGAAACUUCUGAGCUUGAGUUCUGGAGAGGAAGGCGGAAUUCUCGGUGUAGAGGUGAAAUUCGUAGAUAUCGAGAGGAACACCGGUGGCGAAGGCGGCCUUCUGGACAGUGACUGACGCUGAGACGCGAAAGCGUGGGGAGCAAACAGG